RNAcentral lists this long non-coding RNA (373 nucleotides) under Gallus gallus (chicken). Lineage: Eukaryota; Metazoa; Chordata; Aves; Galliformes; Phasianidae. The record is from RNAcentral.
GGGCUUCUGAGGUGAAGUUUCUAACAGAGAGUCCUCCAGAUCUUCCUCUGCUACGCUAGGAAAGGUCAUUUGGACUGAGCUCUGCUGGUACUGCUUCCUGACUGGGUAGCUGAUAUCAUCAGCAAAGUAUUCCAAGAAGGAUCCUGUAAACGAAUGGCAACCCACUCUGAUCCGAUAGUCAGAAAUCAACUGAAUGCACCACUCGAUCUCUUGGCAGUAGUCUUUUUUGGCUUGGUCGAUCAGGUCCUGCUUUUCCUCACAGUCAAAGUGUUUCAGGUUCCGAAGAGAUACUGAGAAACUUUUCUUCUUGUCACUCGUAUCCCCCUCUAUGAAGAGCACGUUGGCCUUUCUGUGUUUUCUCUUCACAUUCUUC